UGCCAUUCUAAGUGUGCCUGUGGCUAGCUC
This 30-nucleotide non-coding RNA is filed under the name Mus musculus (house mouse). Lineage: Eukaryota; Metazoa; Chordata; Mammalia; Rodentia; Muridae. The record is from RNAcentral.